CCUACGGGGGGCUGCAGUGGGGAAUAUUGGACAAUGGGCGAAAGCCUGAUCCAGCCAUGCCGCGUGUGUGAAGAAGGCCUUCGGGUUGUAAAGCACUUUCAGUGGGGAAGAAAGCCUUGGGGCUAAUACCCUCGAGGAAGGACAUCACCCACAGAAGAAGCACCGGCUAACUCCGUGCCAGCAGCCGCGGUAAUACGGAGGGUGCGAGCGUUAAUCGGAAUUACUGGGCGUAAAGCGCGCGUAGGCGGUCUGAUAAGCCGGUUGUGAAAGCCCCGGGCUCAACCUGGGAACGGCAUCCGGAACUGUCAGGCUAGAGUGCAGGAGAGGAAGGUAGAAUUCCCGGUGUAGGAGUGAAAUGCGUAGAGAUCGGGAGGAAUACCAGUGGCGAAGGCGGCCUUCUGGACUGACACUGACGCUGAGGUGCGAAAGCGUGGGUAGCAAACAGGAUUAGAUACCCGGGUAGUC
RNAcentral lists this ribosomal RNA (465 nucleotides) under Vreelandella stevensii. Its description in RNAcentral is "partial 16S ribosomal RNA". It matches the Rfam family "Bacterial small subunit ribosomal RNA", at positions 338 to 795 of the family's 1533-position model. The record is from RNAcentral. Lineage: Bacteria; Pseudomonadati; Pseudomonadota; Gammaproteobacteria; Oceanospirillales; Halomonadaceae.